Vicugna pacos (alpaca) is the source of this 2157-nucleotide non-coding RNA. Lineage: Eukaryota; Metazoa; Chordata; Mammalia; Artiodactyla; Camelidae. The record is from RefSeq and is a predicted model, not a curated record.
CAGGGAGCAGGGCGGGGUCAUAUAUCAAGCUGCAACACAUUCAGGGCCACGUACAUUUGGAAGAAAUUAAGCCACUGUGUUAUGAAACCAUAUGUGUUGGGUUAAGACUAUACAACACGCCAUUAGCACCAAUUAUUAGGAAGAUCCCGAGCGCCCAGGACCCUCUGGGCCGCCCAAUUCUGACGUCCCUAUCCCUUAAACCGGCCUCGCCUUAAGUCCUCACUGCCUCCGCUCACCCAGGAGGCCCCGCCAGUGAGGCCUGGGCCUAUCCCCACCCAGCCUGGGGCCUCCCCAAUUCCCACCUCCGCUCCAGACAGGGCAGAUCCCAGACCAGAGCAGCCAGGCGAGGCGGAUGAAGCAGCCCAGCCCCGCCGCCCGCCUAGCUGCGCGCUCUUCCUGCUCCGCGGCUGGGCCCUGGGCCAGCACUGCGCAUGUGUGAGCUCUAGCGGUCGCGCUCUCUGGUAGGGAGGGGGCUGCGGAGCAGGGAGGGGGCGCUGGAAAGUUUGUUUGGGGGUUGGGGGGCUGACUUUGCUCUGGGGGCAAUGGUUACAACCUACAAGUUCUCUCUGCUGCCCUGAAGUUUGAGCUCCCAGGCCAUCUCUGUCCCAGUCCCAUUAGCCAAGAGGCCUCAGAUCCAUUAUAACAGGAAGAGAACGACAUUCUUCCCAAGGGGUGUCCCGUGCUGGCAGUCCCCAACUCCAGCCCAGAUGGAAAUGGGAGGGGCAGGCCGCUGGAAGCUGGAAGCGUCAUCGCCAAGCCUGACCUGGCCGUGGUCUGAAGAGCAGAGAGGGUUUAGACCUGCCCUGGGCAGUCCUGCAGAGACCGCAGGAGGGGUGAGAAUGGGGGCCAAGCUCCAGAACCCCCAAAGCGCGCCUCAUCCCCAGGUUCCUUUCUCAGAGAAAAUGACAUCCCCCCAGACCAUCCCUAGUGUCAGGUCUCCUCAAUUCCUAGGUUCAGAUGGCAGCUUACUUCUAAUCUUUUUAGAAUUAAAAAUCAAAUUAAGGCCCAAGAUCUUGGUUCCCACUUCUUUUUCUUUGGGUGCAAGGUGGUGUGAAGCUUUUCUGUCUUGUCAGGUGGCCCACACCCGCCUGCCUUUUUCAGAAAAAUUCCAAUGUCCGGGCAGCUGGGACACACCUUGGAAGCCCUGAAAAAAGAACCUAUUCUUCUCUAAGUUGCACCUUCCAUACUAAACUCUGAGGCGCUACCCACCCCCACUUUUCUCCAGACCCCUAAUUUUGACAAUGAGCCCAGUGUGGGGAGCCCAGAAUAAAUUCGCCCAUAGAGAUUAUUUGCCAGCCAGUCAUAACCCAGCCACUCUCCCCACCAACUGGAGAUUUGAAGGCCCAAAGGCUCUUCCCUUGGUCCUGAAUCAAGCUGGCACGGGGACUUCCAUGGCUGGGUGCCCCACCCCAACCAAUAGGGGGUCCCUCAUGCCCUCCCCAAACUUCCUUCACAGUAAGAGAAGCAGUUCCCUCAGCCGGAUGUAGGGACCUCGUUUCUUUUACAAACCCACCCAUAAAUUUUAUAACAGGUAGUUAAAAAUUACGACAAGGAAGCUCUGGCCCAGCUUUUCACAAUGGGCCGAGGGGAGAAUGGGACAGCGCUGCGGGCAGUUCACCGGAAAUUUUACUUCUAGUCUGUGGCACAACCUGUCCUGAGUUCGCUCUAAGUGGGGCGGGGUAACUCUCCAGCCGGCUCGCAGCUACAGGGCAUCUCAUUUAGGAAAGAUGAGGCUGAGGAGGCCAGUCCAUUCUCCCACCCUAGGGUCCCCCAAGGAGCCCUUUAGGGCACUCACUACCUCCCUCACCCCCCGAGAUCCCCCGCAGGCCCCCAACUCCGUUGCCUCUGCAGUAAAGUGGGGAGGGAGAGAAAAAGCCGAGAAUUAAAAAAAAAAUUUCAGAGAAACGAAUUUGCCCCCCAACUUAAUAGCUGCAUUAUCCCGUCUCUACGGUUGAGAUUAGAAUAAUAAAUUCAGGGCGAAAUGAGCGAGAUGCUUCAACUCAGCAUUUUGAAAGAUACUAUUUUUCACAAAUCACAAAUAGCUUUCGGAAGCCACUUUGAUUGGCUAAUAAAAAAAGUAAAGAAUGGGAGAAAGUCCUAUCUGCUGCAGUCGAAUGGUCCCCAUUCCGGUAAUGGGACGGCGGGAGCAUUUGGGAG